AACGAACGCUGGCGGCAUGCCUAACACAUGCAAGUCGAACGAGACCUUCGGGUCUAGUGGCGCACGGGUGCGUAACGCGUGGGAAUCUGCCCUUGGGUUCGGAAUAACAGUUGGAAACGACUGCUAAUACCGGAUGAUGACGUAAGUCCAAAGAUUUAUCGCCCAAGGAUGAGCCCGCGUAGGAUUAGCUAGUUGGUGAGGUAAAGGCUCACCAAGGCGACGAUCCUUAGCUGGUCUGAGAGGAUGAUCAGCCACACUGGGACUGAGACACGGCCCAGAAUCCUACGGGAGGCAGCAGUGGGGAAUAUUGGACAAUGGGCGAAAGCCUGAUCCAGCAAUGCCGCGUGAGUGAUGAAGGCCUUAGGGUUGUAAAGCUCUUUUACCCGGGAUGAUAAUGACAGUACCGGGAGAAUAAGCUCCGGCUAACUCCGUG
RNAcentral lists this ribosomal RNA (433 nucleotides) under uncultured bacterium. RNAcentral describes it as "partial 16S ribosomal RNA". It matches the Rfam family "Bacterial small subunit ribosomal RNA", at positions 29 to 507 of the family's 1533-position model. The record is from RNAcentral.